CAGUCGCCACGGUAAUACGAAGGGGGCUAGCGUUGUUCGGAAUUACUGGGCGUAAAGCGCACGUAGGCGGACAUUUAAGUCAGGGGUGAAAUCCCGGGGCUCAACCUCGGAACUGCCUUUGAUACUGGGUGUCUCGAGUCCGGAAGAGGUAAGUGGAACUGCGAGUGUAGAGGUGAAAUUCGUAGAUAUUCGCAAGAACACCAGUGGCGAAGGCGGCUUACUGGUCCGGUACUGACGCUGAGGUGCGAAAGCGUGGGGAGCAAACAAGAUUAGAUACCCCAGUAGUCCCUGUCUCUUAUAA
RNAcentral lists this ribosomal RNA (301 nucleotides) under uncultured bacterium. RNAcentral's name for it is "partial 16S ribosomal RNA". It matches the Rfam family "Bacterial small subunit ribosomal RNA", at positions 509 to 809 of the family's 1533-position model. The record is from RNAcentral.